Molecule: small nuclear RNA, 104 nt
Organism: Echinops telfairi (small Madagascar hedgehog)
Lineage: Eukaryota; Metazoa; Chordata; Mammalia; Afrosoricida; Tenrecidae
Source: Ensembl
GUGCUUGCUUCCAUGGCACAUAUAUUAAAAUUGGACUGAUAGAGAUUAGCGUAUGACCCCUGUGCAAGGAUGACGUGCAAAUUCAUGAAGCAUUCCAUAUUUUU